Molecule: long non-coding RNA, 1179 nt
Organism: Phyllopteryx taeniolatus (common seadragon)
Lineage: Eukaryota; Metazoa; Chordata; Actinopteri; Syngnathiformes; Syngnathidae
Exons: 3
Source: RefSeq, a predicted model, not a curated record
AUGACUAACUGGCUACUGCUAACACAAUUUGUCGUCAUAGCGUGAUCCAGGCUGAACUGCAAAUAGCAUCACCUGAUUAGCCAAAGACGGGGCCGGGGGGCGGCCGCAGGUCCUCGUCGCCGCCUUCCGAGAAUUCCGUCACACGCGCUUUGGGCGCUGGCGGCCUUGCCGUCGAGCGUUUGACGGGAGCGGGAUCGAUCAUGCGGUACGGAUGUAUAAUAAGCACAUCAAGUGCUCACAUCUCUGGAAAAUCUAUUCUUUUUCCCCAUGUCGUUGGUAGCCAAGAUGUAAUGUGGUCUGUUUAUUUACUCAUCUGCAAAGGGCACGAGGUGCUUGGAAGCGGGGAAUGAAGACAACGGCGAAAACUGCAUGCUGACAUCAGACGUCACAAUAAAGUUACAGCAAUGACACAACCUGGUCUGCGCUGACCAACCUGACAGAGAAAGGACAGGGAGACACGGCAUAGUGAGGACUACUCUUGUUCCCCCAUGGUAACAAGUUCCCUGGCAGAAACACAGUCGGGGUCAAGUCCUCGUCGAAGCCGAUGUCACUUCCUGCCCCGGCCCGCCACGUUGCCGUGGCAGCCGGCAUCCUCUUCCUCCCUCGUGUGUGAUAAGUCUGUUGCCAUGGCAGCUUUUCCUGACGAGUGAACCGACGGUGCCCCCCUCGUCCACCGAGGACCGCGUGUCUUCAUCUGUCGCCAUGGCGACGUGGAGUCUGUUCCUUUAUCUGGCGAGCGGCGUCGUAUUGAGCCGCCGAGCGUUCAAAGGCGGAGAAGCGAAUUUGGGGCGAGGCGGUGAUGCGGAAGCGCGCUUGUUCACUUCCCGCAAGCUGCUGGGAUGCGAGUGAGCCUGCACGAUCACGCUGCGGGAGGCUCUUAACACACCACCACCGGCUUGAUGGAUUCAUGAGCGUGUGUCAGCACAAAAUUUUGUGGAAUUUCUGACAAGAAGUUAAGUCGACCCAGGACACUGAUUAAAAUAUGUAUUUAUUAAAAUUAUUUGAAUUUAUUUUUAAAAGUUAUUUAUAUUAUAUUUAUUGUGUAGGCGGCACGGUGGCCGACUGGUCAGCUGAGCGUCAGCCUCACAGUUCUGAGGUGCGGGGUUCAAUCCCCGUCCCUGCCUGUGUGGAGUUUGCAUGUUCUCCCCGUGUCUGCGUGGGUUUUCUACGGGCACUCCG